GUGCUUUGGCAGCACAUAUACUAAAAUUGGAACGAUGCAGAGAAGAUUAGCAUGGCCCCUGCGCAAGGAUGACACACAAAUUCGUGAAGCGUUCUGUAUUUUU
Molecule: small nuclear RNA, 103 nt
Organism: Pongo abelii (Sumatran orangutan)
Lineage: Eukaryota; Metazoa; Chordata; Mammalia; Primates; Hominidae
Source: Ensembl